UACACCUUGAGGCUUGUUAUUUGGUUAGUAUAUCUUAUGCAUCAAUCAUGAACCAAAUUGCAAUUCAAAUAGUUGAUCUUAAGAGCCUCUAAUUUAAUAAAAAAGGGGAAGAAUAAUGAUUUUCUUGAGUAUCUCUUAGAAAACCUAUUUUUGGCAUUCACUAAUGAGUUCUUAUUGGCUUGUUCUUUAGAACUUCAAUUUCGUGCCAAUCCAUUAUUAUGUGUACCAAAAUGUGCUUCUUUUUAAAGAAAUAAAGUCUUUAAAAGAGCUUUAAAAGAAUCUUCAAAGCCUUGAAUUUUAUGUAUGCUCUAAGAUAUAUCAUAAAUU
Molecule: long non-coding RNA, 327 nt
Filed under: Phoenix dactylifera (date palm)
Lineage: Eukaryota; Viridiplantae; Streptophyta; Magnoliopsida; Arecales; Arecaceae
Description: long non-coding RNA (PDAC_LNC012416)
Source: RNAcentral